This is a transfer RNA of 70 nucleotides. It matches the Rfam family "tRNA". Rfam says of the family: Transfer RNA (tRNA) molecules are approximately 80 nucleotides in length. Their secondary structure includes four short double-helical elements and three loops (D, anti-codon, and T loops).
CAGAGAAUAGUUUAAUCGAGAAUCUUAGCUUUGGGAGUUAAGGGUGGGAGUUAAAAUCUCUUUUCUUUGA